Long non-coding RNA from Oncorhynchus tshawytscha (Chinook salmon), 2315 nucleotides. RefSeq lists it as uncharacterized. The transcript is spliced from 3 exons. The record is from RefSeq and is a predicted model, not a curated record. NCBI's taxonomy places the organism in Eukaryota, Metazoa, Chordata, Actinopteri, Salmoniformes, Salmonidae.
CACACACACACACACACACACACUGAGUUAUUAACAUAUUGACAAGCAACAUGACAGGAGUGUGCGUAUUAGCAGGAAGGACCCUCAUGUGGUAAUAGGAGGGGGGACAGGGGGACUAGAGAGGGACAAAAGGAAUGCAUAACAUGGGAACAAAGCCAAGAAAUAAAAGUUCAUGGGUGCGUAGAAUUCACUAUGAAUCCCCAAGGAAGCCCAGUCUAUAAAUGCAGACAAUGGAUUUGUGUCUUAUUCUAGACAGAGCUGUUCUCAGUUUGCCUUCAGCCACCAGAUACAAGGUACUGAUUUCAUUUUCCCAAUCGUGUAUUAUUAUUGAUAUGAAUUAUUAUGUCAAAAAUUGUGAAAUAUCCCAAUGAACUGUGAAGAAUAGAAUUGUGAACUUGAGCCACAGUUCAAUAACAGGCCCACGAUAAUGUAAUGAAAUAAAUGCAUGCGAUAUAGGGAAAACCUAUGUCAUUCUGAACCUUUGUCACCCUACAGUCAAUACACUGGGUAGAGAUAGUAUGCCACCUACUGACCAGUUGUUGCCAUUGUUGAAGGAAUUGAAUUGCAGCGUGAUUAAUAAUGUCAUAUCAUGAAUGUUAUCAUUUAGCCUCACAUAACAAAAUAUAUAUAUUAUUGCUUCCUGUACCCCCCAAAAACAAAUAGCAUGGGAAUAAAUACAUUUCUGAAACCUGUGCAAUCUGAGGAUGAACAAGAGAACAGCUUUCUUUAAUUGUUAUGAUUCAAAAUGAAAACAGGGGUUUCCUGGUUGCAGGUCAGGUUUGGUUUGUCCUUCACAGGGUGAUAGACAUGGAGGUGUGUCUGAAUUACUAUACUUCAUUUAUCUUACCUAAAAGAUUGCUCAAAUAUUUUGAAGAUGUAAUGAUAUUUAGAAUUGUACUGCAUAUUCUUACAGGACAUUGAUGAUUGCUCUCCAUAUGGAAUCAGGAGGGGCAUUGAUGUCUGUCAACUUUACCUUGCAAAAUAGUAGUCUUAUCAUAACUUCUAGCUAUAACUUGAGAAUGUCAAAUGAGGCCCUAUUCAUUGCAAGGCUGUGGCUGUGAUGACACCUGUCAAUUAUAAUUUGUUGGAAAAUAUCAAUCAUGUCAGUAUAUGCCAGUAAUAUGUCACAUAAAAUGCUUUUUUGCAAAUUAACUAAAUCAUAUUAUACUUGUCAAUAUUCCAGACUUGUCAAGGUUCUCCAUGCUAAUAUACUUAUGGCUGAAUAACAACAAGAUACUGUAGCCAACAUCACAAACAGAUACUGAUACUGUAUACAGUUAUAUUAAAUGUGGGAAUGUGUGACACUCAAACACUAGGCAUAUCAUGUCAGAAUAGCCAAGAAAGGAAAAAUAUAAUUUCCCCAUAUCCACUUCAUAAUGCUCUGUAAAUGUUUCAAAUUAACAAACUCUUCUACCAUUCCCUCAACUGUUGCAUGACAGAACUUUAUCUCCAAAACAAUAAAAUAUCUAUUUCAGGUAAAUAUGACAAUCUAUAUUUUCCUAAGCAUAUGCUAUAACAUUGCAUGUUCUCUGUGUGAGUUUGUCUUGUUGUGGAUCUGUUUUCCAUCCCCAAGAGCAACAUACCUAUCCUGUCUUUAUAGCCUGUUCCCAGAUCUGUUUGUGCUCUUGCGAAGUCCAUUGCUGUCAUUGUCAAGCCAAGUUAAGGCAUGACAAUUUCACAGAGUUGUUAAGAGAGCAGAAACAGGCUAGCACUCAGGCUACUGUCUUUACUGUAUGUUUUCCAUCCUUUGGCACCCUGGGACACCUAACCUGUCAUUGGGUUCUUCUUCUGCACAAACACCAGAUGAAGAGGCUGGAGGACUGAGUGGCUGAAGCUGAGGAACUUGCAGCAUCUCCACACUGUCAGUCACUAUGGCUCAAGACAACAUUUAAAGAGCCCAUUGGAUGAGACAGCAGAUCCCAGUGUGCGCAGGGCCAUGCAGAGAUCCAUCAUGCAGUUCUCCACUGUGGACUAGAAGACCAUUUCCACCGCCAAACAGAGAAAGCUAGGGGAAUGGAACCAGCCAGGGUCCAACAUCCUCACUGUCAUGUUCAGCUAACUGCUCCAGCAACACGAGGGGUGAAUCUCAAUUGUAUUUAACAGAUUCUUCAUGUCCUCUCCUCUAAUGCAUUUUGAGAAGAAGCCAAGGAGAGAAUAUCCCAGGGGAGGAACCUCAGUUAUCCGCUCCACUAUGCUUUGAGAAGAGGAGGAGGACGUGAGGAAAUACAAUUGAUAUUCUCACCUGAAGGUCAUACCACUGUGGUGUGAUGCUGUAUAAGCCUGUAGAGGGAGCUCUAGCUGAAUUAAACCUGUCA